AGAAAAUUAAGAAAAAUUCUUCCACGAAACAACCGAAGCAAUCUCUCGACAUUCUAAUUCGCCAAACUCUUAAAAAGCAAAUAGAUAACUUCAAAAAAUCUUUAUGUUCGAUAUUCGAUUGAAAUGUUCACCUACCCCAAUAUGAAGCACCCAUGAAUCUCUAUCCUUUCUCGAACCAUGCACAAAUACCACACCUCUAACAUAUACAAAAAAGAACCACAGAAAACCAACCAAUCAACCAAUCAGCGAAAUUCCUCUCGUCACCACUUCCAGCAGCCGUGUUACUCUCGACGCUUGCCAAGAGGGCACGCUAGAACCGCGAAUGAGAUAGGGUAGGCGCUUGGCAAUAGGAAGGAGAGCGGAGAAGGAAGAAAAAGCAUGUGCCGGGCGCGGAGGUGGAGGACGAAGGGAGCGGCGACGGUGGCAGCGGAGGAGAGUAUGCAGAUGAAUAGCUCGCAGAAACCGUGAGACUCUACGGUUGCCCUAUAUAUCGGGGAGCUCGUGGAGAACUCGCGCGGUGCCAGAGCGUUUGUGCUCGACUCACGACUCUCGUGUGUUGUGUCGCCCGUCUUUUAAAACUCGAACUCGGUCGGUCUGUACGACGACGUCGCCGAGAGGCGAAGAGCCACCGGCUCUCUGGAUGCGCGCGCGAAAGACCACGGACGUUGAAGAAACGAUCCGGCCUGGAGAACGGUAGAAAGAUACACUAUGUGGCUGUGUUGACUCGCUUGCGCUAUACAAGGUGUCUUGCAAGUGGUGACACAAUCAGGGCAAGGGUGAUUCCGUUAGGCGUAGAAUUAAUUUGGCAUCUUUGCGCUGGAUUGUAAAUUCGUUUUAAAUUUCAACGUUUUCCCGGCAUUUUGACACUCUAAAGCGACUACAGAAAGUAUUCGUACUUACGUCACAUUCUUUUGCCGUGCAACGUUUUUUCUGUCAGGUUCUAUAUUUCAUUUUUAUAAUAGCAACUUUUUAUAGUCGUAUGAAGAUACUACAGUGAUACGAGAUUCAAUAUACUUGAACCUAAUUAAUUAGUAUGUAAACGCGUAAUGAAUACGAUCGUGUAUGUGCAUAUCAUGUAUAAAUUUAUCCUUGCUAAUUUCUUUCUAAUUGUCCAUCUUCAAUUCGUCAAUAUACACAUGUAUGCAGAGAUGUUAGUUAAGUUCAGAUAUACAAAAUCGACUUUCUCAAAAAUAGAGCCUCGUAUGCAAUAA
Molecule: long non-coding RNA, 1211 nt
Organism: Bombus pascuorum
Lineage: Eukaryota; Metazoa; Arthropoda; Insecta; Hymenoptera; Apidae
Exons: 2
Source: RefSeq, a predicted model, not a curated record